RNAcentral lists this ribosomal RNA (466 nucleotides) under uncultured bacterium. Its description in RNAcentral is "partial 16S ribosomal RNA". It matches the Rfam family "Bacterial small subunit ribosomal RNA", at positions 28 to 507 of the family's 1533-position model. The record is from RNAcentral.
GAUGAACGCUGGCGGCGUGCUUAACAUAUGCAAGUCGAACGAUGAAGCCCAGCUUGCUGGGUGGAUUAGUGGCGAACGGGUGAGUAACACGUGAGUAACCUGCCCUUAACUCUGGGAUAAGCCUGGGAAACUGGGUCUAAUACCGGAUAGGAGCGUCCACCGCAUGGUGGGUGUUGGAAAGAUUUAUCGGUUUUGGAUGGACUCGCGGCCUAUCAGCUUGUUGGUGAGGUAAUGGCUCACCAAGGCGACGACGGGUAGCCGGCCUGAGAGGGUGACCGGCCACACUGGGACUGAGACACGGCCCAGACUCCUACGGGAGGCAGCAGUGGGGAAUAUUGCACAAUGGGCGCAAGCCUGAUGCAGCGACGCCGCGUGAGGGAUGACGGCCUUCGGGUUGUAAACCUCUUUCAGUAGGGAAGAAGCGAAAGUGACGGUACCUGCAGAAGAAGCACCGGCUAACUACGUG